GAUGAACGCUGGCGGCGUGCCUAAUACAUGCAAGUUGAGCGAACAAAUUAGGUGCUUGCUCCCCUGUGAUUAGCGGCGAACGGGUGAGUAACGCGUGGUUAACCUACCUUUAAGCGGGGGACAACUUCGGGAAGCGGAUGCUAAUACCGCAUAAUAUAUUUAACCGUAUGUUUCAAUAUUGAAAGAUGCUUUUGCUUCACUUAAUAGUUGUCCCGCGUUGUCUUAGCUAGUUGGUUAGGUAAAGGCUUACCAAGGCCAAGAUUCGUAGCCACCCCGAGAGGGUGAUCGGCAAAAUUGGAACUGGGACACGGCCCAGACUCCUACGGGAGGAGCAAGUAGGGAAUCUUCGGCAAGGGGGGAAAGCCUGACGGAGCAACGCCGCGUGAGUGAUGAAGGUCUUCGGAUCGUAAAACUCUGUUAUUAGGGAAGAACAAAUGUGUAAGUAACUAUGCACGUCUUGACGGUACCUAAUCAGAAAGCCACGGCUAACUACGUG
RNAcentral lists this ribosomal RNA (496 nucleotides) under uncultured bacterium. Its description in RNAcentral is "partial 16S ribosomal RNA". It matches the Rfam family "Bacterial small subunit ribosomal RNA", at positions 28 to 507 of the family's 1533-position model. The record is from RNAcentral.